Molecule: ribosomal RNA, 2126 nt
Filed under: Triticum aestivum (bread wheat)
Lineage: Eukaryota; Viridiplantae; Streptophyta; Magnoliopsida; Poales; Poaceae
Description: partial small subunit ribosomal RNA
Source: RNAcentral
GACAGGAGACAAAUGGUUAGUAAGUGUGGGGAGAGGGUUCAGAGUUAAAGUUAUAACUUGAGGGACGAGGAGGGCAGCGAGCUAGCGGUACAGGAGGAGGUGCCCCUCGAACCUGGUGCGUCCCAAGUGCAAGUGCGGCGGCGGCAAGUAGUGCAGGAAGUGGCUCGAAGACAGCCCCAGGCCGCGGCCGCUGCGCCUCGCCAGCGGCUCCCCCAAGUUGGCUCCCCCGGCCCGGCCCCGCGGGUUCAAGUUCAGGCGCGUCGGCGGGUCGGACGGGUAGAGCAGCGGGAAGAGGACGAAGAGGCAGGGACGUCCAGAGUCGGGACGGCUCGACGAGCUGAGGGGGCAAGAGGAGUUGAUGAGAGUGUAGAACCGCAGAGGCUGAUGCCCACGCUAGGGACGCGUCUCCACGCUGACCGUCCGCUCGCGGCUAGACUUGUGGAAAGUCGUCCUACUCGAGCCGGAGAGACCGAAGAGGAAAGUGCGUCAGUUCAGGUUGCGGUGCCAGUUGCGAGUUCAUUUGAUGAAUGGAAAUAAGUUCCUCGUCGUCCUCGUUGUUGUUCUUCUUCACCAAGUUCACUCGUUGUUCUCGUCGUCGUCGUCGCCGUUGUUGUUCGUCCAACUCCUGCCUAUGUUAACCUCCUUCAUGCCCGUCUUCGUUCAAUUCCCCUCGCUCUUGGGCGCCUCGAUGAUGUUCACGUGGAUGUUGUUAACGAGGUACUUCUUCUUUCACCUCGCGAGAGAGCGGCUGCCGGCGUAGUGCGUCUAGCAGAUGUUCCCGCGUGUACUGGUGGGCUUCGGGGAGAGGUGCGCGGCGUUGAGGAGGCCGACGCGCCGCCAGCAACGCCUCCUAGUAUGGUUGCCGAGCCUCGUGAGACCGGGCUGCGGGCUCUUAAGUAGGCAGUGAAAGCCUCUGCUACUCCGGCUGUUCGGGCUCUGGUUCGCGGCCUUCCUCGUACCACUGUUGCUCCCGUCAAGUCCGCCGUGGCCGCCGACGCCCUUCGGGCACGCGCUCGGGUCCGAGCACCACGUCUGCGACUCGCUAUAUCUGUAUGAGCUGCUGCCGAAGGCCACCUCCUUCAUGCCCGUCUUCCAACAGUUCCCGUUAGGGUUGGGGUCCUCGAUGAUGUUCACGUGUUGCCACCCGACGGGCCACGCGUUCGUACACCUCGCCCGGAGCGUGCUGUUGGCGCGCCACUAGUGGUGGAUGCUCCCAUUCGUGUCGGUGCUGCACGGCUAGCCGGCCCCGGCGCGCGACGGCCGCAGUAGAAGGAGGCUGUCGAGCCGGCAGUAGACCGGACGGCGGCGGCACGUCCGGGGCACGUGGGAGCUCUACGAGCGGCCUGUGGGUCCGAUGCGCCGGUUCCUGCUCGGGGCCCUGCUGUACAAGCAGCUCAGCGAGGAGACGAUCGAUCCGUCCGAUCCGGCGCCGGGAAGCAAGGGGGACACCGCAAAUGUAAUCUGUGUAGAUGUGUAUUGCAGAGGAUGGGUAAAGCCCCAAAGGAGAGGGUUCGCUAUUCUAACCGCCGAUGCUAGAAGCUGUUGAGGAGGGGCCUAAACUGGAUCUCAAGGGACGAUAAGGUAGAUUCUCUCUAGUAGUGGCAUAAUCCUCUGUUCGUAUCUGGACCUAGCGCAUAAGCAACCGAAGAUCCCUCUACCGCUCGCUCUUAAGAUGAUGAAACACUCAACCGUAGCUACGACGAUUCUUGUCUCGCCUGGACCCGCCACCGGGUGUGCCGCAACUGUACCUUCUUUUCUUCCAGCCUCUUUGAUUCAGGGGCCCACCGCCACCGAGAUGUAGAUUGUGGCUCCUGGACCCUCUGUUUAAGUUUAUAGAAUUGGAUGUGCAUCUACUUGUCCCCCUGCAGCAGAAUCUCCUUCUGGAACUCCUUGAUCUCUUCCUACGGCUUAGGUACCGUGACCGGUCCUAAGUAUGGAGUGCGUGAAAGUCGGUACCUCGGAAGAAACCUCGGUACUCCAGGCGCACCUUAGAACGGGUUCUUCACUUUAAAUCUCGUUAGUUUCUGUUGGAGAAAAGUCACGUUGAUAUGACGAACCGUCUAACCGUUGCACACUACGCACUGCCGGGCACCAAUAAAGCCUAACACAACUAGGUCCAUAUAACU